RNAcentral lists this ribosomal RNA (1413 nucleotides) under uncultured bacterium. RNAcentral describes it as "16S ribosomal RNA". It matches the Rfam family "Bacterial small subunit ribosomal RNA". The record is from RNAcentral.
CAUGCAAGUCGAACGGUAACAGGAAACAGCUUGCUGUUUCGCUGACGAGUGGCGGACGGGUGAGUAAUGUCUGGGAAACUGCCUGAUGGAGGGGGAUAACUACUGGAAACGGUAGCUAAUACCGCAUAAUGUCGCAAGACCAAAGAGGGGGACCUUCGGGCCUCUUGCCAUCGGAUGUGCCCAGAUGGGAUUAGCUUGUUGGUGGGGUAACGGCUCACCAAGGCGACGAUCCCUAGCUGGUCUGAGAGGAUGACCAGCCACACUGGAACUGAGACACGGUCCAGACUCCUACGGGAGGCAGCAGUGGGGAAUAUUGCACAAUGGGCGCAAGCCUGAUGCAGCCAUGCCGCGUGUAUGAAGAAGGCCUUCGGGUUGUAAAGUACUUUCAGCGGGGAGGAAGGGAGUAAAGUUAAUACCUUUGCUCAUUGACGUUACCCGCAGAAGAAGCACCGGCUAACUCCGUGCCAGCAGCCGCGGUAAUACGGAGGGUGCAAGCGUUAAUCGGAAUUACUGGGCGUAAAGCGCACGCAGGCGGUUUGUUAAGUCAGAUGUGAAAUCCCCGGGCUCAACCUGGGAACUGCAUCUGAUACUGGCAAGCUUGAGUCUCGUAGAGGGGGGUAGAAUUCCAGGUGUAGCGGUGAAAUGCGUAGAGAUCUGGAGGAAUACCGGUGGCGAAGGCGGCCCCCUGGACGAAGACUGACGCUCAGGUGCGAAAGCGUGGGGAGCAAACAGGAUUAGAUACCCUGGUAGUCCACGCCGUAAACGAUGUCGACUUGGAGGUUGUGCCCUUGAGGCGUGGCUUCCGGAGCUAACGCGUUAAGUCGACCGCCUGGGGAGUACGGCCGCAAGGUUAAAACUCAAAUGAAUUGACGGGGGCCCGCACAAGCGGUGGAGCAUGUGGUUUAAUUCGAUGCAACGCGAAGAACCUUACCUGGUCUUGACAUCCACGGAAGUUUUCAGAGAUGAGAAUGUGCCUUCGGGAACCGUGAGACAGGUGCUGCAUGGCUGUCGUCAGCUCGUGUUGUGAAAUGUUGGGUUAAGUCCCGCAACGAGCGCAACCCUUAUCCUUUGUUGCCAGCGGUCCGGCCGGGAACUCAAAGGAGACUGCCAGUGAUAAACUGGAGGAAGGUGGGGAUGACGUCAAGUCAUCAUGGCCCUUACGACCAGGGCUACACACGUGCUACAAUGGCGCAUACAAAGAGAAGCGACCUCGCGAGAGCAAGCGGACCUCAUAAAGUGCGUCGUAGUCCGGAAUGGAGUCUGCAACUCGACUCCAUGAAGUCGGAAUCGCUAGUAAUCGUGGAUCAGAGUGCCACGGUGAAUACGUUCCCGGGCCUUGUACACACCGCCCGUCACACCAUGGGAGUGGGUUGCAAAAGAAGUAGGUAGCUUAACCUUCGGGAGGGCGCUACC